Molecule: ribosomal RNA, 424 nt
Filed under: uncultured bacterium
Lineage: Bacteria
Description: bacterial SSU rRNA
Rfam family: Bacterial small subunit ribosomal RNA
Source: RNAcentral
UAGUAUCAGCGUGCCAGCAGCCGCGGUAAUACGUAGGGUGCGAGCGUUGUCCGGAAUUAUUGGGCGUAAAGAGCUCGUAGGCGGUUUGUCGCGUCGGCCGUGAAAACUUGGGGCUUAACUCCAAGCUUGCGGUCGAUACGGGCAGACUUGAGUUCGGCAGGGGAGACUGGAAUUCCUGGUGUAGCGGUGAAAUGCGCAGAUAUCAGGAGGAACACCGGUGGCGAAGGCGGGUCUCUGGGCCGAUACUGACGCUGAGGAGCGAAAGCGUGGGGAGCGAACAGGAUUAGAUACCCUGGUAGUCCACGCCGUAAACGGUGGGUGCUAGGUGUGGGGGGCUUCCACGCCCUCUGUGCCGCAGCUAACGCAUUAAGCACCCCGCCUGGGGAGUACGGCCGCAAGGCUAAAACUCAAAUGAAUUGGCGGG